AUACGUAGGUGGCGAGCGUUGUCCGGAUUUACUGGGUGUAAAGGGCGUGUAGGCGGGAUAGCAAGUCAGAUGUGAAAUACCAAGGCUUAACUUUGGGGGUGCAUUUGAAACUGUUAUUCUUGAGUGUCGGAGAGGGAAGCGGAAUUCCUAGUGUAGCGGUGAAAUGCGUAGAUAUUAGGAGGAACACCAGUGGCGAAGGCGGCCUUCUGGACGAUAACUGACGCUGAGGCGCGAAAGCGUGGGGAGCGAACAGGAUUAGAUACCCUGGUAGUCCACGCUGUAAACGAUGAAUACUAGGUGUGGGGGGACUGACCCCCUCCGUGCCGCAGUUAACACAAUAAGUAUUCCACCUGGGGAGUACGAUCGCAAGAUUGAAACUCAAAGGAAUUGACGGGG
RNAcentral lists this ribosomal RNA (396 nucleotides) under uncultured bacterium. RNAcentral describes it as "partial 16S ribosomal RNA". It matches the Rfam family "Bacterial small subunit ribosomal RNA", at positions 523 to 918 of the family's 1533-position model. The record is from RNAcentral.